RNAcentral lists this ribosomal RNA (253 nucleotides) under uncultured bacterium. Its description in RNAcentral is "partial 16S ribosomal RNA". It matches the Rfam family "Bacterial small subunit ribosomal RNA", at positions 524 to 776 of the family's 1533-position model. The record is from RNAcentral.
UACGUAGGCAGCGAGCGUUGUUCGGAGUUACUGGGCGUAAAGCGUGCGUAGGCGGUGUCUUAAGUUUGUUGUGAAAUCUCCCGGCUUAACCGGGAGGGUGCGGCGAAUACUGAGAUGCUGGAGUGCCGGAGAGGUAAGCGGAAUUCCUGGUGUAGCGGUGAAAUGCGUAGAUAUCAGGAGGAACACCUGCGGUGUAGACGGCUUACUGGACGGUAACUGACGCUGAGGAGCGAAAGCGUGGGGAGCGAACAGG